GCCUUCUCAACCGAAAGAGUCCCCAAAGCCUAAGGUGCAAGAACCCAUGGAAGAGGAAGAUGAGGUGCCCAAACCCAAGCCAAAAAAUCCUCUAGUCCUGCUUCCUCCCGGUAAGAUGAUAUUAGAUGAGUGGAAGAGGCUUUAUUCUAAUACGAAAAUGAACUUCGGUGAGGUUGCUAUCAAAGGUACCUUUCCUGCUUUUGUCUGGUUGUUAAACUCAUGCAAUGAUGAUCCUUUGUUUGCCGUAGAAACAAGAUGGUAUCUGUUAUGAUAGUGAAACCGAUGUCAUCUUCUUGGGGAAAUCUGAGACAUGAUGGCUUCUUUCAUCAUUCAGUUUCUGCUGAUAAUGUGUGGCGCCAGUUAGUUAAAAGAACUGUAUGCGCUAUUUUUUUUUUCUGGUCUAUGCUAAAAUUUCAGAAAACUCCUGUUUCUUGUUGCUGCUUAUAUGUAGAUCUUUGAAUGAAGAGGACCUUUUUUUUUCUUUUGUAGCUAAAGAAGUCGGAAUUUGACAUGCAGGUAAGGCUUUAUACAUUGACCCUUGUAGCCUUCCUAGAGCCUGCAGGCACAGAGGCAGGAGCCUCAUUUUCAGGUUUCUGGGAUAUGUAUGACCGACCCCGAGGGGUACUCACUGUGGUUCUGUGACUAAAAAUACAUUCUUGACCCUGAACAAAGUGAGUGGUUUCCUCCAGCGCAUGGACUUUUUGGGUCGGAAAUGUGCAUUUGGAAAGAUGCUUGUCAAUGCUUGGGAGCCACCGUAGAAGGUAAAGGGGCUGUGGCUCUUCCGGGGCGAGGAGAUCCCCACAAUUUGUGUUGGAUGAUUGCUAUGACAUGGAGCUAAGGUUAGAGAUUGCCGAUGAAACACACGAGGAGCGAGUGAACGGAGGACCAGUAGUCAUUUGAAGCCGAGGCCCUGUCGAAUGCCGAGUAAAAAGUCCUCCAUCCAGUCUGGCCCAGCAUAAUAUUAGUAGUUGUUACUAUGACUUGUAUGGCAUUGCUUAGCACUGUCUUGAAUAUUUUUGAAAUGUGAUAUUUAUAUGUGAUUGUCUGA
Molecule: non-coding RNA, 1048 nt
Organism: Musa acuminata subsp. malaccensis (wild Malaysian banana)
Lineage: Eukaryota; Viridiplantae; Streptophyta; Magnoliopsida; Zingiberales; Musaceae
Source: RefSeq, a predicted model, not a curated record